This 301-nucleotide ribosomal RNA is filed under the name uncultured bacterium. Its description in RNAcentral is "partial 16S ribosomal RNA". It matches the Rfam family "Bacterial small subunit ribosomal RNA", at positions 509 to 807 of the family's 1533-position model. The record is from RNAcentral.
CAGCCGCCGCGGGAAUACGAAGGGGGCUAGCGUUGCUCGGAAUCACUGGGCGUAAAGGGUGCGUAGGCGGGUCUUUAAGUCAGGGGUGAAAUCCUGGAGCUCAACUCCAGAACUGCCUUUGAUACUGAAGAUCUUGAGUUCGGGAGAGGUGAGUGGAACUGCGAGUGUAGAGGUGAAAUUCGUAGAUAUUCGCAAGAAUACCAGUGGCGAAGGCGGCUCACUGGCCCGAUACUGACGCUGAGGCACGAAAGCGUGGGGAGCAAACAGGAUUAGAUACCCGAGUAGUCCCUGUCUCUUAUAC